ACGCUGGCGGCAGGCCUGACACAUGCAAGUCGAGCGGUAGAGAGAAGCUUGCUUCUCUUGAGAGCGGCGGACGGGUGAGUAAUGCCUAGGAAUCUGCCUGGUAGUGGGGGAUAACGUUCGGAAACGGACGCUAAUACCGCAUACGUCCUACGGGAGAAAGCAGGGGACCUUCGGGCCUUGCGCUAUCAGAUGAGCCUAGGUCGGAUUAGCUAGUUGGUGAGGUAAUGGCUCACCAAGGCGACGAUCCGUAACUGGUCUGAGAGGAUGAUCAGUCACACUGGAACUGAGACACGGUCCAGACUCCUACGGGAGGCAGCAGUGGGGAAUAUUGGACAAUGGGCGAAAGCCUGAUCCAGCCAUGCCGCGUGUGUGAAGAAGGUCUUCGGAUUGUAAAGCACUUUAAGUUGGGAGGAAGGGUUGUAGAUUAAUACUCUGCAAUUUUGACGUUACCGACAGAAUAAGCACCGGCUAACUCUGUGCCAGCAGCCGCGGUAAUACAGAGGGUGCAAGCGUUAAUCGGAAUUACUGGGCGUAAAGCGCGCGUAGGUGGUUUGUUAAGUUGGAUGUGAAAUCCCCGGGCUCAACCUGGGAACUGCAUUCAAAACUGACUGACUAGAGUAUGGUAGAGGGUGGUGGAAUUUCCUGUGUAGCGGUGAAAUGCGUAGAUAUAGGAAGGAACACCAGUGGCGAAGGCGACCACCUGGACUAAUACUGACACUGAGGUGCGAAAGCGUGGGGAGCAAAC
Molecule: ribosomal RNA, 745 nt
Filed under: uncultured bacterium
Lineage: Bacteria
Description: bacterial SSU rRNA
Rfam family: Bacterial small subunit ribosomal RNA
Source: RNAcentral